CCGCCCGGAGGUCACCAUCCGCCAGCGAGUUUCGCCCGCGGAUGGCGUUUUG
Fulvimarina pelagi HTCC2506 is the source of this 52-nucleotide small RNA. It matches the Rfam family "ffh sRNA". The record is from Rfam. NCBI's taxonomy places the organism in Bacteria, Pseudomonadati, Pseudomonadota, Alphaproteobacteria, Hyphomicrobiales, Aurantimonadaceae.